ACGUGUUAUGCCGCCUAUACAGUUAUAGUAGUUAUACUACGGUGUUAUUGUAUUAGUUUAUUAUUUUGGUAUUUUUUUGUUACUUGUUACUACGAACCGGUCAUCGCUGCUACGGGUGUGAUGCUGCGACUUCCACCACUCCACCUCCCGCUCAAUCAUCGUCAUUAUAAUGUUAUACGAAUAUUACAUAUAUUAGGCGGCAAUUAUUCAUGAUAAUAGGCGGCACUGGGGCAGUGGCGACAAAAAAAGAAAGAUUCGAUAAAUUUUGCUAUGUACAGCAGUGAUUGGACGCAGAGCAGUGUACAACAUAAAAUUCUACUAUUAUAUGCCAUGCGGAUGAAUAACGCCGAAAAUUUGAAACUACAAUUGACGCAAAAUAAAAUAGUAAAUUCCUAAAUGUUCACUGAUAUUAUGCGGACAAUGUUUUCAAUAUUAUCAGUGUCGGAAAAAAUAUGUGCAAAGAAGACGUAGCAGGUAUAUGGAAUUUAAAUGUUCGGAUACUAUAUUACUUAAUAAAAUAUAAUAUAGUCGUCUAGAAUCCUGCAGAAUAUACACCCAAAAUAUAAAAUAGAAUAGCAUUUACAGAUAAUAAAUAUGCUAUGCUUUAGCUAAGGAUAUAAAAAACGCACAUAUAUCGUAUACUGGUUUAAAAAACAUGUAAACUAUACUAAUUAUUAAAUAUUAAUAAUUAUUAAACAGAUAAAAAGAGUACGUCAACACGAGCGCGUGCCGGACGGACGCGCAAAUCGCCGAUACACACGCUCAACUACUGUACGCCGGUGGAAUAGUAUAUAUAAUAUUCACUGACAAAAUAUUAUCGUCGUAUACGUACAGUAUACAUAGGUAUUAAUAUGUUCAUCACUAUUUCACUAUAGAUAUACAUUUAUAGACACUGUUGGCUGCAUGUUUGAAUGUUGAAUGUUGAUGUAACUAUAUAAUUCAUAUUUUUCUCUCCGAAAAAAUAUUAGAAUUACGCGAGUGUUUCCUAUAAUUAUUG
Molecule: long non-coding RNA, 997 nt
Organism: Rhopalosiphum padi (bird cherry-oat aphid)
Lineage: Eukaryota; Metazoa; Arthropoda; Insecta; Hemiptera; Aphididae
Exons: 3
Source: RefSeq, a predicted model, not a curated record